UCUACACCAGCCUUUGUCUGCAUCAGCCUUCCUGCUUCUCAUCGUCUGCAGCUCCUUGAAGGCGGCCACGUGUUGCGGCUCACACUAGUGGCUUAGCAGCAACUCCUUCCUCUCCGCCUGAAAUAGUUUGUGUUUUACCCUGGGAUCAUCAUUGCGAGUUUGAAGGUGUCUUUGAUACAGGAGACUUACUCAAGGACCAAAAAAGCCGGAAGAGAUGCUUAGGUGAAAAAACACAGGAUGGAAUUCAGGAGUGAUGUGUUCUUCCUGUUGUCUGUCCAGCCUACAUGAUCUGAGAUCUACUCCAAAGGCUUGAUGUUCUGCAUUGAGAAGCAAUAGCACAUAAAUAGCUAUCCAAGACUCCGUGUCCUUCUGGAGAUGGGGAGGUCUGAAACAUCGCAGCCCUCCUGCAGUGGAGGCACCAGAUCUUUAUAUGGAGGCAAAACAAUACCUGCCUUGUUUUAUGCCUGUCCUGAUAUACCAAAUAUUUUAUUGGCUUUUUUUGACCAUGACCACACCCUGCAGCACUGUGAGUCUAAAGGCUCUUUCCAGAGCUGUAACUGACAGUUCCAAGUUCAGCAUUACACAAGGGUAACACAGAUGUGGAUUUCCUCUAAGUGCAGUAUUCCCUGCCAUUUGUCUACACCAAACCCAUUCUGGGUGCUUACUCUGCUUCGUGGGGCUCUUCUGGAGUUUCUAACUGUUAGGGUGGCACCUGCCCCCUCAGGAAGAGCUUAAUAGAUUUCUACAAAAGAUAGCAGGAGGGCAAGAAAGAAGAUACCAAAGGAAAGUACACGGGAGUUUUGUUGUAGUUUUGGUUUUUUAGGGGUUGUUUUGUUUCUUCAUUGUGGGGUUUUAGGUUGUUUUUCUCUUUUGGUACUAGCAUGUGGAAUUUUUAUAUUCUCCUCAUGAUGUGCUUUUUAAUUAUUUUUCUGUAUAUAGGCACAUGACUGUAGCAUAUGGUUGCAAAUUUCUGUUUAGAACAGUGACAGAAACAUAAGCAGAAUUCUGAGUUGUUUUUAUUACCUGGGUUUAUCCACUGUACAACCUGGAAGAGCUUUUUAAUUUAAAAGUACUUCAACAAAACUAUCAUGAAGAGAUUUCCACCACAAUUCUUGUUAUUUAAUCCAUACCUAUCAAUGAGGAAAAGCUGCAACUGGGGAGAAAAUAAAUGUCUCCAGCAACCCAGCCACAAUUGUCCACAGGUACACUGUACACAAGGAAGAGAAAAAUAAAAACAGCAAGGAAUAGCUGAAAAAGAAACUCCAUUAAAUUGGGUUUUGUAUAAUUUUGAAGUUUUCUCUAUUUUGCUGUUGCCAUUCCUACAUGGGACUGUUUCACCUCUGGAAAUUGAAUUUGAAGGCUUACAGUGAGCUUCUUCAGUAGUAUCAGAUCAGCUCACUUUUGGUUUCACUUACUGCUGACCUUUACUUGUGUUGCUCUGAUUAAUUUCUAAUUGUGACUACAGUCUAAUUACAGGCAAGGAACAUGAUUUAUUCCCCUUACUAAUCCUUGACCAAGACCUGGCUGAUUACUUGAUCUGGAACUCUCUCAGCAGGACCAGUAUGAGAUGAACAUGUAAUGAAGGACACGUGGUCAGCAUGUUUGGGCAGUAAAAAAGAAUUCUUCGUUCAAAAGAGGCAGCUCUUAGCUAAUUGCCUGUGGAAAAAAAUGAGGGUUGUGUUUGCAUGUUUACAUAGACAUCCAAGACUGUUUUUCCCAAGAACUUUUGAACCUGGGGGACAAUUUCAACAGAAUUAGGUGGGGGCAAGGUACAGAUCCUUUAGAAAAGCUCCAACUGUCCUUUGAAGAUAUGGGGCUGCAGAAAAGAGACCUAAUAGUGUUUUCAGCAAGGAAAGGUGGCAGCUGAAAGUCCCCUUCUCGCUGAACAACAGAGAACUGACACUGUAGAGGAACUUUAAAAAAACCCAAACAAUAACCAACCAACAUUUCACUAAGGAGAAAAAUGCAGUUGGAGAUUUAUCUUCCUAGACAAACAUCAUUCACAUGUUAAGACAUGCAUUUGUGGGAAACCUGGCCUCUUUAAUUACAGUGUGGCACAACUUGUACAGUGUGUUACACCUGAGCUCUGCAGCUGCAGACUGCCACAUGGUAGAUUUCUAUGUUGAUUUAAUUAUACACCUCUGUAAGAAGUAUCCAGGCUUACUCAAGAGUUGGCUGACAGCAUUUUAUGGUUCUCUAGAGGCACAUUUUUAACAGGAACUGAAUAUGUCUGUGUCUUUUGUGACUGGAACAUUGUAACUUUUCAUUCCAACCGAAAUACAAACUAUUUUCAGUUCAUAGAGUUUGCACUCCUAAACCAUGUGCCAGUUUGUCAGACAUCUGUUAGGCCUUCAAUACUCUCAAAGUGCCAACAGUUCAUACUUGUCUUCUGAGCCAGUAACAUCCUCUAAGAGUGACCAGGUUAGAAAUCAAAGUACUCUGAGUCUUGUUACACUUAGAACCUGAGGCACAGAAUUUGCUGUUUCCUGUAUCUUUUGGGUUACAGAACACUGUCAAACCCCUAAAUUUCUUGUUCACAUCAUGUACCUUUUACAUCACACCUUAAAAUAAAAACACCAUGAAGGCUGUUUGGUUGUAACUGAUAACUGUGGUUCCUUAACCUUUGAACAGCUUACCUGUCCUGUGGCUUACCAACAGUGUGCAGGUGGUACGCACACACCCUGCACGCCACAGCCAAAUAAAGCUUGACCACCCCAUAAAAGUUUUGUUUUCCAAUGUCAAAGCACACACUCAGCUACUCUGUGACACUUAAAAAUAAACUUUUGAAUUGAACUAUAAUAGUGGUUUGCCUGGAAACAUUGCACCCUAAGCUAGUAGCCCAGAAACUGACAAAUAGGAAAGUCAAACACAUGGCAGUGGUUUGGAGAAGGCUGCCAGGGAAUAUUAAGCAUUUCUUUCCUGUGAGCAAUCAGUGUCAUUUUCUUGCUCUUUCCCUAUGAAGAAGUCUCUCUCCCAGCCCUGAAACAACUUGAUGCCCUGAACUAUUUUCAGACCAACCAUUACCUUUACCAGUAAGUCAUUUCAGGUCUCAAGUGUGAUUUUUUUUUUUUCUGCUUGUAUGACAAAUGUUAUUGCUAUAAACCUUACAAUAAUAUGUUAGAUGUAUGUGUCUUGGAAUGUAAACCUUUAAAUAAAGCACAGAAUCUGUAUGGAGAA
This is a long non-coding RNA of Pogoniulus pusillus (Red-fronted tinkerbird), 3177 nucleotides long. RefSeq lists it as uncharacterized. The record is from RefSeq and is a predicted model, not a curated record. The transcript has 3 exons. NCBI's taxonomy places the organism in Eukaryota, Metazoa, Chordata, Aves, Piciformes, Lybiidae.